Molecule: ribosomal RNA, 465 nt
Filed under: uncultured bacterium
Lineage: Bacteria
Description: partial 16S ribosomal RNA
Rfam family: Bacterial small subunit ribosomal RNA
Source: RNAcentral
GCCUCCCUCUUUCUUCGUGCUUAACACAUGCAAGUCGUACGGUAAGGCCCUUUCGGGGGUCCACGAGUGGCGAACGGGUGCGUAACACGUGAGUAACCUGCCCACAACUUUGGGAUAACGCUAGGAAACUGGUGCUAAUACUGGAUAUGUGCUCCUGCUGCAUGGUGGGGGUUGGAAAGCUCCGGCGGUUGUGGAUGGACUCGCGGCCUAUCAGCUUGUUGGUGGGGUAGUGGCCUACCAAGGCGGCGACGGGUAGCCGGCCUGAGAGGGUGACCGGCCACAUUGGGACUGAGAUACGGCCCAGACUCCUACGGGAGGCAGCAGUGGGGAAUAUUGCACAAUGGGCGCAAGCCUGAUGCAGCAACGCCGCGGGCGGGAUGACGGCCUUCGGGUUGUAAACCGCUUUCAGCAGGGACGAAGCUUUUUGUGACGGUACCUGCAGAAGAAGCACCGGCUAACUACGUG